This is a long non-coding RNA of Siniperca chuatsi (mandarin fish), 1426 nucleotides long. RefSeq lists it as uncharacterized. NCBI's taxonomy places the organism in Eukaryota, Metazoa, Chordata, Actinopteri, Centrarchiformes, Sinipercidae. The transcript is spliced from 3 exons. The record is from RefSeq and is a predicted model, not a curated record.
UUCCGCUCAUCAGUCAUGGACAGAACUAUGUUGCCGGUCCUGUUGUGUCUGCAGGCUUUCCUGCUCAUCACAGCCUUCACUUCAACUGAUGCAGCCGCUCUGGUGUCAGAUGAUCAACAACAACAGUCUCCAUAUCUGGUGCAGAGAUGGCCUUAUUGGCAGAAAUAUCGAGGAUGUUGUCCGAGACCAGGACAAUAUGACCCAUGGGGCCAGUAGUUUCUUGACAGUAUACUGGUACAAUCAGCUGACAACGCCAUGGCACCAUGUUUCCACUUGACUACUUACUAGAAUAACUGAGCACUCCUCAUAUCUCAUAAAUUAUCAACCCAAGAACCAAUCUCAUCGGCAAAAAUAAUUUUCUGUAAAAAUGUUGCACCUUACCUAUUUUCAAUGUGAUUUUCAAAGACAAAAACUGGUUAAAAUUGUUUAUUUUUCAGCCAAGUCUACAGGAGAAGUAAAUUUGUAUUGUAGCACAAAGUGUAAUUUAUUUUUUUGGUUGAUCACUUCCUCAUCAACAAGUUGUUUGUUUCAAAAUUAGUUGAAAUCAUUGAAAGAAGCAGAUUUAGACCAUUUGAACCAUUUGACCGUCAGAUUAAAAGGAACAGUUCAACAUUUGGGGAAAUAUGCUUAUUCACAUAGACUUACAGUAUUAAGCUAGCCUGUCUCUGUUUAAAGCUAACAAAAUCCACCUACCAGGACGUCUAAAGCUCACUAAUUAACACUUUAUAUCUUCUUUGUUUCAUCCAUAAAUGUGUAAAAACAACAAUUUGCUGUUUUAUGGGGGUUAUGUGGGACUAUUUAAGGGCAAUAUCGCCUGAAAUCUCCGAUGGUGGCCUGCUCAGAGCCCAGAUAUAGUCCAGUACGUAACCUCCAGUAAAACAUCAAAUUGUCAUUUUUACACUUGUGCACUUUCUUGUACAGAUUAAACACACAAGAUAUAAAGUGUUAAUAACUGACAUUUAGAGGUGUUGGUAGGUGGAUUUUGUUACCUUUGGACAAAGUGAGGCUAGCUGUUUCCCUAUGUUUUCAGCCUUUACCCUAAACUAACCUUUUGCUGGAAGUAGCCUUAUACUUACCGGAGACAAGAGAGUGGUUUCGAUCUUAUCACCUAACUUUAUGCCAAAAAGCAUAUUUUACAAAAUGUCAAAUUAUUGCUUUAAGAAAAUGUAAUUUGCACAAUAAAUAAUCAUCUGCAAACAUGUUGUAUAUGUUAUCUAGUUACACUGUGCUUUUUUAAUGACAAAGACUUGAUUAAACUGUUUAAAAUCGGUUAAAUAAAUGUAUUAGUUAAAACAAAAUAUUUAGGUGUUCAGAGAUACCAUGUGCUUACAAAUGUCUGCUUAUGAUAGAUAAUGAUGUGAUCUAAUAUUAGAUAAUGUUUUGUUGCAAAGUAAAGUGGUUGAAAUAAAAGUUCACAUGGAGUGCA